This 73-nucleotide transfer RNA is filed under the name Chryseobacterium lathyri. RNAcentral's name for it is "tRNA-Glu". It matches the Rfam family "tRNA". Rfam says of the family: Transfer RNA (tRNA) molecules are approximately 80 nucleotides in length. Their secondary structure includes four short double-helical elements and three loops (D, anti-codon, and T loops). Lineage: Bacteria; Pseudomonadati; Bacteroidota; Flavobacteriia; Flavobacteriales; Weeksellaceae. The record is from RNAcentral.
GCUCCAUUAGCAUAGCGGUAAGUGCAUCCGGCUUUCUACCGGACGAUAAGGGUUCGAUUCCCUUAUGGAGUAC